UGUGGUAGCUCAAAUGGUUAGAGCGUCAGUUUUGAGAACUGAAAGUUGCGGGUUCAACUCCCGCCCACACGA
This 72-nucleotide transfer RNA is filed under the name Planctomycetaceae bacterium. RNAcentral describes it as "tRNA-Ser". It matches the Rfam family "tRNA". Rfam says of the family: Transfer RNA (tRNA) molecules are approximately 80 nucleotides in length. Their secondary structure includes four short double-helical elements and three loops (D, anti-codon, and T loops). Lineage: Bacteria; Pseudomonadati; Planctomycetota; Planctomycetia; Planctomycetales; Planctomycetaceae. The record is from RNAcentral. RNAcentral also lists the same sequence under 1 other name.